Long non-coding RNA from Mastomys coucha (southern multimammate mouse), 269 nucleotides. RefSeq lists it as uncharacterized. NCBI's taxonomy places the organism in Eukaryota, Metazoa, Chordata, Mammalia, Rodentia, Muridae. The transcript has 3 exons. The record is from RefSeq and is a predicted model, not a curated record.
GUGCAAUCAUUAACAUGGUUCUACCCUUGAAAGCCUUCUGAAAAUAAUAAAGACUCAGAAACUCUUCCACUAUCAGUCCCAGUAACCAUAAUGCAAAGGUGGCAGGAACCAGUGAUCAGCUUUACCCGAAGUAAGAAGAAAGAGACAGAAUAUGCCAGUUUGGUCUGGAACUCACUACAUAUUCAAGCUGGCUUUGAUCCUGAUGCUUCUGCCUCCAAGUACUGUGAUUGUAAAUGUGAAUCCCAUUCUUUAUCUUAGAGAAUAAAAAC